This is an unclassified non-coding RNA of Nomascus leucogenys (northern white-cheeked gibbon), 105 nucleotides long. It matches the Rfam family "Y RNA". From Rfam's summary of the family: Y RNAs are components of the Ro ribonucleoprotein particle (Ro RNP), in association with Ro60 and La proteins. The record is from Ensembl. NCBI's taxonomy places the organism in Eukaryota, Metazoa, Chordata, Mammalia, Primates, Hylobatidae.
GGCUGGUCCAAGUACAGUGGUGUUUACAGCUAAUUGAUCCCAACCAUUUUAUGGAUUUCUUUGUUUCCGCUCCACUCCUCUACUGCUUCACUUGAUUAGCCAAAA